GAUGAACGCUAGCGGCAGGCCUAAUACAUGCAAGUCGAGGGGUAUGGGUUGCUUGCAACCCAGAGACCGGCGCACGGGUGCGUAACGCGUAUGCAAUCUACCUUAAUCAGGGGGAUAGCCCGGAGAAAUCCGGAUUAACACCGCAUAACAUUGAGUUGUGGCGUCACAGUUCAAUCAAAUAUUUAUAGGAUUAAGAUGAGCAUGCGUGACAUUAGUUAGUUGGUGAGGUAACGGCUCACCAAGACCACGAUGUCUAGGGGAUCUGAGAGGAUGACCCCCCACACUGGUACUGAGACACGGACCAGACUCCUACGGGAGGCAGCAGUAAGGAAUAUUGGUCAAUGGGCGCAAGCCUGAACCAGCCAUGCCGCGUGCAGGAAGACGGCCCUAUGGGUUGUAAACUGCUUUUGUACCGGAAUAAACCUUCUCUUGCGAGAGAAGCUGAACGUACGGUAAGAAUAAGGAUCGGCUAACUCCGUG
Molecule: ribosomal RNA, 480 nt
Filed under: uncultured bacterium
Lineage: Bacteria
Description: partial 16S ribosomal RNA
Rfam family: Bacterial small subunit ribosomal RNA
Source: RNAcentral